Molecule: ribosomal RNA, 735 nt
Filed under: uncultured Fusobacterium sp.
Lineage: Bacteria; Fusobacteriati; Fusobacteriota; Fusobacteriia; Fusobacteriales; Fusobacteriaceae
Description: bacterial SSU rRNA
Rfam family: Bacterial small subunit ribosomal RNA
Source: RNAcentral
GAUGAACGCUGACAGAAUGCUUAACACAUGCAAGUCAACUUGAAUUUGGGUUUUUAACUUAGGUUUGGGUGGCGGACGGGUGAGUAACGCGUAAAGAACUUGCCUCACAGCUAGGGACAACAUUUGGAAACGAAUGCUAAUACCUAAUAUUAUGAUAAUAGGGCAUCCUAUAAUUAUGAAAGCUAUAAGCGCUGUGAGAGAGCUUUGCGUCCCAUUAGCUAGUUGGAGAGGUAACGGCUCACCAAGGCGAUGAUGGGUAGCCGGCCUGAGAGGGUGAUCGGCCACAAGGGGACUGAAACACGGCCCUUACUCCUACGGGAGGCAGCAGUGGGGAAUAUUGGACAAUGGACCAAGAGUCUGAUCCAGCAAUUCUGUGUGCACGAUGAAGUUUUUCGGAAUGUAAAGUGCUUUCAGUUGGGAAGAAAGAAAUGACGGUACCAACAGAAGAAGUGAUGGCUAAAUACGUGCCAGCAGCCGCGGUAAUACGUAUGUCACGAGCGUUAUCCGGAUUUAUUGGGCGUAAAGCGCGUCUAGGUGGUUAUAUAAGUCUGAUGUGAAAAUGCAGGGCUCAACUCUGUAUUGCGUUGGAAACUGUAUAACUAGAGUACUGGAGAGGUAAGCGGAACUACAAGUGUAGAGGUGAAAUUCGUAGAUAUUUGUAGGAAUGCCGAUGGGGAAGCCAGCUUACUGGACAGAUACUGACGCUGAAGCGCGAAAGCGUGGGUAGCAAACAGG